This 440-nucleotide ribosomal RNA is filed under the name uncultured bacterium. Its description in RNAcentral is "partial 16S ribosomal RNA". It matches the Rfam family "Bacterial small subunit ribosomal RNA", at positions 338 to 795 of the family's 1533-position model. The record is from RNAcentral.
CCUACGGGAGUCUGCAGUGGGGGAUAUUGCACAAUGGGGGCAACCCUGAUGCAGCGACGCCGCGUGUGGGAAGACGGUCCUCUGGAUUGUAAACCACUGUCCCCAGGGACGAAGAUGACGGUACCUGGGGAGGAAGCUCCGGCUACAUACGUGCCAGCAGCCGCGGUAAUCCGUGGGGGGCGAGCGUUGUCCGGAAUUACUGGUGGUAAAGGGGGCGUAGGCGGGACUGGAAGUUGGGUGUCAAAUCUACCGGCUCAACCAGUAGCCGCACUCAAAACUGCAGUUCGUGAGUGAAGUAGAGGCAGGCGGAAUUCCGAGUGUAGCGGUGAAAUGCGUAGAUAUUAGGAGGAACACCAGUGGCGAAGGCGGCCUGCUGGGCUUUAACUGACGCUGAGGCUCGAAAGUGUGGGGAGCAAACAGGAUUAGAUACCCUAGUAGUC